RNAcentral lists this ribosomal RNA (424 nucleotides) under uncultured Planctomyces sp. RNAcentral describes it as "bacterial SSU rRNA". It matches the Rfam family "Bacterial small subunit ribosomal RNA", at positions 355 to 774 of the family's 1533-position model. The record is from RNAcentral. Lineage: Bacteria; Pseudomonadati; Planctomycetota; Planctomycetia; Planctomycetales; Planctomycetaceae.
UCGAGAAUCUUCGGCAAUGGGCGCAAGCCUGACCGAGCGACGCCGCGUGUGGGAUGAAGGCCCUUGGGUUGUAAACCACUGUCAGAGGGGAUGAAAUGCCAGAGAGCUAUCUCUCUGGUUUGACAUAGCCUCAGAGGAAGCACGGGCUAAGUUCGUGCCAGCAGCCGCGGUAAUACGAACUGUGCAAACGUUAUUCGGAAUCACUGGGCUUAAAGGGUGCGUAGGCGGCUUGUUAAGUAGGGUGUGAAAUCCCCCGGCUCAACCGGGGAAUUGCGCCCUAAACUGGCGAGCUGGAGUGAGAUAGGGGUGUGUGGAACUUCCAGUGGAGCGGUGAAAUGUGUUGAUAUUGGAAGGAACGCCAGUGGCGAAAGCGACACACUGGGUCUCAACUGACGCUGAGGCACGAAAGCCAGGGGAGCAAACG